This 234-nucleotide long non-coding RNA is filed under the name Mytilus galloprovincialis (Mediterranean mussel). The record is from RNAcentral. Lineage: Eukaryota; Metazoa; Mollusca; Bivalvia; Mytilida; Mytilidae.
GGGGAGAGGGUCUAAUCUGAUAAUCAUUUCCUUCGUAUUCUUUAUUUUAUUUAUUGUGUCAAUAAAGGAGCUAUUGUUUGAUUUUGAUGGGGAUGGAGGGGGGACUAACCUGGUUGCAAUUGUUUGCCCUUUUUCUUUCUAUUAUUGUUAUCUCUGUCCUGGCUUUUUAUUUUCCUUCUAUUCGGUCCUGCCUUUUGUUAUUUAGUUUAUCCUGACUUUUUUUUACAUAAAUUU